GAUGAAGAACGCAGCGAAAUGCGAUAAGUAAUGUGAAUUGCAGAAUUCAGUGAAUCAUCGAAUCUUUGAACGCACAUUGCGCCCCCUGGUAUUCCGGGGGGCAUGCCUGUUCGAGCGUCAUUUCACCACUCAAGCCUCGCUUGGUAUUGGGCAACGCGGUCCGUCGCGUGCCUCAAAUCGACCGGCUGGGUCUUCUGUCCCCUAAGCGUUGUGGAAACUAUUCGCUAAAGGGUGCUCGGGAGGCUACGCCGUAAAACAAACCCAUUUCUAAGGUUGACCUCGGAUCAGGUAGGGAUACCCGCUGAACUUAAGCAUAUCAAUAAGCGGAGGA
RNAcentral lists this unclassified non-coding RNA (331 nucleotides) under soil metagenome. RNAcentral describes it as "partial contains 5.8S ribosomal RNA, internal transcribed spacer 2, and large subunit ribosomal RNA". The stretch from base 1 to 120 matches the Rfam family "5.8S ribosomal RNA", at positions 35 to 154 of the family's 154-position model. The record is from RNAcentral.